Molecule: long non-coding RNA, 2253 nt
Filed under: Homo sapiens (human)
Lineage: Eukaryota; Metazoa; Chordata; Mammalia; Primates; Hominidae
Description: HSALNT0390628
Source: RNAcentral
UUAAAGGGGAAUUGGGAGAGCCAGGACAGGCACUAGGAUGGACCAUUCAGAGGUCUAGAUCCAGCAUGGAGUCAGUGAGGGUGAGAAGACUUCAGCGGAGAGGGAGAUGGAAAGAACCAAAUCUGCCAGCAUGAGGGCUCAGGCAGGAGGCGCCUGCAACAAAGCAACCGAGAUCCCGCAGCUGAGCCGCUCCCAUCAUGAAGCCUCUGGCCUACACAAUGGGGAAGAUGAAACCAGCCAGCCUCAUCAAUCGUCCCUGGGCAGGCCAGUCUCCUCUUCAGUCUCAUGUUCAGGGUUUGCAUAAUUAGGCGCCUGAUGGAGGCGAAUGUCUGCCCCACCGAAGGUCGUCAUUGUGCAGCACUCUGUCGGGGAGCUGUGAGGUACACAGCAGCCCGGGCCUGCUCCGAACAGCAGCAGAGCCUGUGAGGAGGAGCCUGGCUUUUGCAGGAGCGCAUUAAUAAGGUUGGAAACCCGUGGCUUGGGAAUCAGAGCCAAUCGCAGUCAUGUCAGAAAUGGAAAUAAGAAACUCCUGGAUGAAAUGGAGGAGCCAGCAACCCUCUAACCAGAGGUUCUGAAUUUCAAUUUGGGGUCCACUCUGCAAAAGCUGAGGGCUAUUGAGCAAAUCCUUCAACCCCUCAGUGUCUUUGUUUCCUGGACUGCAAAAUGGUGGUGACAUACCAGUUCCCCUUAUCUUAGAGACCAAUCGGUUUACACUUUGAAGAGCUCACGGUGUGUUCAGGGCACUAUUCUAAGGGUGUUACAUGUGUAUUAACUCUAUAAUCAGCAACAACCCUAUGCAAGUUUGCCCUUUGGCAUUCUUCAAGGGCUUUGGCUGAUCCUGCCUUCUGGCUGCUCCUGCUCCUCCUGCCUGAUCCCCACCUCUGGACCCCAGCCUGGGCUGUCCUCAACUGUCUGGAAACUACUCAGAAUGUUAGAUCUUGAAUCACCUCUUGCAGCCACCACAGUGUGGACUCAAUCCUUUUUCCAUUCAUGUUCUCCUGUUCUGCAACUGGGCUGAAAUGACUGCAUGGCGAUGAGGGAGAGAAGACUGAGUCUCAAGUGGGGACGCAAUUUGUGGAAAACAAUAGGCCCCAGGGCAAGGAGCGAAAUGGGCAAUUAGCCCAGGUCUGUGUUGAAGUCAGUCUCUUGGACUUACCUGGAAGCUCUCUAAGGCAGGGAUAUAUUCAGAUCAUCUUUUCAUUUUUUUAUUUCCUUCCUCCUCCCAACUCUCCAUGUUCACCCCUCCCCAAAAAAACUAGUAAAGCUCAUUUGCAAUAUAUUUGUUGCUUUGAAUUUUUUUUUUUAUUUAUUAUUAUUAUUUUGAGACACAGUCUCACUCUGUCACCCAGGCUGGAGUGCAGUGGCACGAUCUCGGCUCACUGCAAGCUCCGCUCCCCCCUCCCCCACACCUCCCUCAAAGAGGUUUCAGUGUGACAAGGAAGAGGUCACACACACCCAGGGAGCUAGAAGUAACGCAGAAAAUACAGACUGCUUCAAGAAAAGUACGAAGGCUGGGCUAAACUGGUUUCACUUCCAAGUGAUUGGGUGAUGGCCCCUAUGGGUCAGCCUGGCCUGAAAAAGAAAUCUCCCCAUUGGGGCUCCAGCUUGUCCCAUUCAGCCCUUAACACAGCUCUGAGCUGAGGCAGGAGUCAGCAUCACCAGCACUUUUUGUUUUACAGGGUUUUUUCCCUUCAAUUCUCCAUUUGUCUUGGUCUGCAGGUGCUCUUCUCCCUGACCCUCCUUUCAUAUUCAUCCUAAAUGACAAGACCUUUCCUUAAAAACAAGCAUCUUCUCCUCCCAUGGCAAGACAAGGCUGCCCUUUGUGUGUUGUUUUCAUUAAUUUGUUGAUACUUGUUUUCAAGCUACAUUUUAUUGGACUUGUGCUUACUUUGCUGAAGCACAAAGGUUGUUUAAGCAGAAGGGCACAAGAAAGUGGAAAACUCCUGACCUCAAGUGAUCCACCCACCUCGGCCUCCCAAAGUGCUGAGAUUACAGGCGUGAGCCACCACACCCGAUCACGGGUCUUCCUGCUUCUGUGAUCACCUUCUCAUAACCUUGAGACCACUGCACAUUGAUGAAGUUCAGUUAAUCUACAAUGACUGUAGCCAUCUGAGUGACCCCAGGUGAGACCAAUAGAACUGUCGAACUAGCCAACGCACAGCAUUGUGAGAAACAAUAAAUCAUUGUUUUAAGCCAUUAUGUUUUGUGGUGGUUUGUUACAAACACAUAACUAAAACAACCUCAAAAUCUGGA